GUGCUGGAUACUUGUCUGCAGUGUUCGACUAGAUAAACUUGUUUAGUUCAUGUGAUCUCAUUGUCCUCGCAAACAUCACAUCACAGCAAAUCUCAUUGUACUUCCUAACCCUGUAGAGAUUAAUUAUCACUGCAAUUAAUCAAGCAGAGGAAUAUAGGUGUAAUUUAAAAUAGAAAAUUGCUUAUAUUUUCAUACAGAACGUAACACAAAAACAAACUACAAAAUGUGCAAAUGUCUAGGCCAAAGUGUUGUCUGCUGUUGCUGUCAAUGCGCCAUGAGCGUCUUCAUCUCCUUGCUAUUCUUGGCCAUAUUGAUUGCCAUCGCGGUCGCCGCAGGAAUCUACUUCGGACUGGUUAACGUGGAGGACAGCCAACCGGAGCUGUCUGAUUUUAUCCAUAAGACGGGCGAUUCGAUCAAAAGUACCGUCAAGGACAAGAUCAAUUAAAACCCAUACAAGUCUCAUGCACAACGAAACCAGUUGAAUGCAGAAUCUCCAGAAGAAAAUAAGCGCUUUAUUCUGGAUCUAAAUUUUUGGGAAAUCAUAUUGCAUUUAUAGAUGUAUUCAUGUGCUCAUUGAUAUACUUUCAAUCCAAGCUAUACAACCGUUGGAAAUAGAAAGCAUGUUUUAAAAUUGUAAUUUUUCAACACAAAUCGCUUCAAGCAUCACAUAAGUUAUUCCUCACAACGGGUUCAUCAGGGAUUUAAUCUGACCAAAUUUUACAAAGGUACAACGUUACAAGUACAACAUUGUCGGUUUCAUCGAGUGAAGAUCGCCACAAAUAUCAAGAUGUUGUAUAAUUUUCGCAAUAGCCGUCGCGAUCGCUAUCUAUUAUGGCGUAUUUAAAGUUGAUGAUUCAGCACCAGAGGUCGGAAAUUUCAUCAAAAAGACCGGAGAUCAGAUCAAAUACGGCAUCAAGGACGGUAUCAAGAAGUUCGAUGACUAGUGCUAUAGAUGGUUCCAUCCCUCAACUACGAAAACGGCUCCGAAGAGGGAGGAAAUGUACUCCGUAACUUGGUUGGUAUCGAUGUAUCUCAUUCCAAAAAUCAGUGAACAGCUGUAAAAUCAUCUGUGGGAAAUAGUCUGAUAUAAAAUCUCAAAUAUACCGAGCCGAACCGAAACUAUACGUCAUGAAUUAUUUUUUUUAACUAACCGUGGCGCAUAAUAGCUUUAAUAAUUUAUGGAUCUGAACAUAUUCAAGAAUAUGUAAGAAUAUUACAAGUGCAAAUACAAAACUAACCUGCCUAUCAGAAAA
Long non-coding RNA from Toxorhynchites rutilus septentrionalis, 1253 nucleotides. RefSeq lists it as uncharacterized. Lineage: Eukaryota; Metazoa; Arthropoda; Insecta; Diptera; Culicidae. The transcript has 4 exons. The record is from RefSeq and is a predicted model, not a curated record.